This 24-nucleotide non-coding RNA is filed under the name Arabidopsis thaliana (thale cress). The record is from RNAcentral. Lineage: Eukaryota; Viridiplantae; Streptophyta; Magnoliopsida; Brassicales; Brassicaceae.
GGGCUUUUCAAGGGACCGGUUGCA